RNAcentral lists this ribosomal RNA (460 nucleotides) under uncultured bacterium. RNAcentral describes it as "partial 16S ribosomal RNA". It matches the Rfam family "Bacterial small subunit ribosomal RNA", at positions 338 to 795 of the family's 1533-position model. The record is from RNAcentral.
CCUACGGGAGGCAGCAGUGAGGAAUAUUGGUCAAUGGACGAGAGUCUGAACCAGCCAAGUAGCGUGAAGGAUGACUGCCCUAUGGGUUGUAAACUUCUUUUAUAAAGGAAUAAAACGAGGCACGUGUGCCUUUUUGCAUGUACUUUAUGAAUAAGGAUCGGCUAACUUCGUGCCCGCAGCCGCGGUAAUACGGAGGAUCCGAGCGUUAUCCGGAUUUAUUGGGUUUAAAGGGAGCGUAGAUGGGUUGUUAAGUCAGUUGUGAAAGUUUGCGGUUCAACCGUAAAAUUGCAAUUGAUACUGGCAGUCUUGAGUACAGUUGAGGUAAGCGGAAUUCGUGGUGUAGCGGUGAAAUGCUUAGAUAUCACGAAGAACCCCGAUUGCGAAGGCAGCUUACUAAACUGUGACUGACAUUGAUGCUCGAAAGUGUGGGUAUCAAACAGGAUUAGAUACCCUUGUAGUC